UGUUAUCUUUGGAUUGCCGCGGG
Molecule: non-coding RNA, 23 nt
Filed under: Arabidopsis thaliana (thale cress)
Lineage: Eukaryota; Viridiplantae; Streptophyta; Magnoliopsida; Brassicales; Brassicaceae
Source: RNAcentral